AGUGAACGCUGGCGGUAGGCCUAACACAUGCAAGUCGAACGGCAGCACAGUAAGAGCUUGCUCUUACGGGUGGCGAGUGGCGGACGGGUGAGGAAUACAUCGGAAUCUACUUUUUCGUGGGGGAUAACGUAGGGAAACUUACGCUAAUACCGCAUACGACCUACGGGUGAAAGCAGGGGAUCUUCGGACCUUGCGCGAUUGAAUGAGCCGAUGUCGGAUUAGCUAGUUGGCGGGGUAAAGGCCCACCAAGGCGACGAUCCGUAGCUGGUCUGAGGGAUGAUCAGCCACACUGGAACUGAGACACGGUCCAGACUCCUACGGGAGGCAGCAGUGGGGAAUAUUGGACAAUGGGCGCAAGCCUGAUCCAGCCAUACCGCGUGGGUGAAGAAGGCCUUCGGGUUGUAAAGCCCUUUUGUUGGGAGAGAAAAGCAGCAGGUUAAUACCCCGCUGUUCUGACGGUACCCAAAGAAUAAGCACCGGCUAACUUCGUG
Molecule: ribosomal RNA, 491 nt
Filed under: uncultured bacterium
Lineage: Bacteria
Description: partial 16S ribosomal RNA
Rfam family: Bacterial small subunit ribosomal RNA
Source: RNAcentral